GAUGAACGCUGGCGGCGCGCCUAACACAUGCAAGUCGAACGAUUAAACCGCCCUUGGGCGGAUAUACAGUGGCGAACGGGUGAGUAACGCGUGACCAACCUUCCCCCCACAUCGGGACAACCCGGGGAAACCCGGGCUAAUACCGGAUAUGCCGGGUAUGGCGCAUGUCAUACCCAGGAAAGCUUUUGCGGCGGGGGAUGGGGUCGCGUCCCAUCAGGUAGACGGCGGGGUAGUAGCCCACCGUGCCAACGACGGGUAGCCGGGUUGAGAGACCGACCGGCCACAUUGGGACUGAGAUACGGCCCAGACUCCUACGGGAGGCAGCAGUGGGGAAUCUUGCGCAAUGGGGGAAACCCUGACGCAGCGACGCCGCGUGCGGGAUGGAGGCCUUCGGGCCGUGAACCGCUUUCAGCAGGGAAGACAUUAAGGACGGUACCUGCAGAAGAAGCCCCGGCUAACUACGUGCCAGCAGCCGCGGUAAUACGUAGGGGGCGAGCGUUAUCCGGAUUCAUUGGGCGUAAAGCGCGCGCAGGCGGCGCACCAGGCGGGAUCUCGAAACCGGGGGCUCAACCUCCGGGCGGAUCCCGAACCGGUGUGCUCGAGUGCGGUAGAGGAAGUCGGAAUUCCCGGUGUAGCGGUGAAAUGCGCAGAUAUCGGGAAGAACACCGAUGGCGAAGGCAGACUUCUGGGCCGACACUGACGCUCAGGCGCGAAAGCUGGGGGAGCGAACAGG
Molecule: ribosomal RNA, 733 nt
Filed under: uncultured Coriobacteriaceae bacterium
Lineage: Bacteria; Bacillati; Actinomycetota; Coriobacteriia; Coriobacteriales; Coriobacteriaceae
Description: bacterial SSU rRNA
Rfam family: Bacterial small subunit ribosomal RNA
Source: RNAcentral